Molecule: RNase P RNA, 350 nt
Filed under: unidentified eubacterium clone LGB#21
Lineage: Bacteria
Description: partial ribonuclease P RNA
Rfam family: Bacterial RNase P class A
About the family: Ribonuclease P (RNase P) is a ubiquitous endoribonuclease, found in archaea, bacteria and eukarya as well as chloroplasts and mitochondria. Its best characterised activity is the generation of mature 5'-ends of tRNAs by cleaving the 5'-leader elements of precursor-tRNAs. Cellular RNase Ps are ribonucleoproteins.
Source: RNAcentral
GAGGAAAGUCCGGGCAUCGACGGGCAGGAUGGUCUCUAACGGAGACUGGGGGUAACCCUAAGGAAAGUGCAACAGAAAAUAUACCGCCGCCCGCCUCUGGCGGCACUCAGGCAGAAACGAAAGUUUCUGCCGGUAAGGGUGAAAUGGUGAGGUAAGAGCUCACCAGUCCCGUGGUGACACGGGAGCUUGGCAAACCCCAUCCGAUGCAAGGCCAAAAAGGGGGCUGCCGGAAAUGGCAGCGAGGAUUGCCCAUCCUUUAACCCGGGUAGGCCGCAAGAGGUCCAGGGCAACCGGGACCCAAAGAGAAAUGGUCACCGUCCCGCCACAGGCGGGAAACAGAACCCGGCUUA